AAGUAAAAGUCGUAACAAGGUUUCCGUAGGUGAACCUGCGGAAGGAUCAUUAAUGAAUGAGGCCCUCUGGCCUUGAUCCCACGCCUCUCUUGCUGUGCGCCUCUCGGGGCUGCACGCUUGAGAACACGUGAUUCUCACACCUGUGCACCUUUGGAAACGAGAAAUUCCAUUUCUCGAGUCUGCCCACACACUCUGUAUCAGUCACGAAAGUCAUCCAUUUCUUUAAAGAAAAAUACAACUUUCAACAACGGAUCUCUUGGCUCUCGCAUCGAUGAAGAACGCAGC
This 285-nucleotide unclassified non-coding RNA is filed under the name uncultured fungus. Its description in RNAcentral is "sequence contains 18S rRNA gene, ITS1, 5.8S rRNA gene". The stretch from base 1 to 52 matches the Rfam family "Eukaryotic small subunit ribosomal RNA", at positions 1780 to 1831 of the family's 1831-position model. The record is from RNAcentral. Lineage: Eukaryota; Fungi.